This 495-nucleotide ribosomal RNA is filed under the name uncultured bacterium. Its description in RNAcentral is "partial 16S ribosomal RNA". It matches the Rfam family "Bacterial small subunit ribosomal RNA", at positions 28 to 507 of the family's 1533-position model. The record is from RNAcentral.
GAUGAACGCUGGCGGCGUGCCUAAUACAUGCAAGUAGAACGCUGAAGGAGGAGCUUGCUCUUCUGGAUGAGUUGCGAACGGGUGAGUAACGCGUAGGUAACCUGCCUGGUAGCGGGGGAUAACUAUUGGAAACGAUAGCUAAUACCGCAUGACAACAGUUAUUGCAUGAUAACUGUUUAAAAGGGGCAACUGCUCCACUACCAGAUGGUGGUGCGUUGUAUUAGUUAGUUGGUGAGGUAAUGGCUCACCAAAGCGACGAUACAUAGCCGACCCGAGAGGGGUAACCGCCACACUUGGAAUUAGACACGGCCCAGAAUCCUACCGGAAGCAACAGUAGGGAAACUUCGGCAAAUGACGGAAGUCUGAACGAGCAACGCCGCGGGAAUUAAGAAAGGUUUCGGAUCCUAAAACUCUUUUUUAAAAGAAGAACGAAUUUGAUAAUUAAAAGUUCACACUGUGACGGUACCUUAACAGAAAGCGACGGCUAACUACGUG